This is a long non-coding RNA of Heterocephalus glaber (naked mole-rat), 3620 nucleotides long. NCBI's taxonomy places the organism in Eukaryota, Metazoa, Chordata, Mammalia, Rodentia, Bathyergidae. The record is from Ensembl.
CGAGAAGAAGCUGAGCUUUGGGUCUGAUCAGUGCUGCUCUGGGCAGCAAAGACAAAAGCCCCCAGCUUACUGCACCUUUUAUUCAGUACAUCGGGAGAAACAAAUGUAACAGAUGACUUGCAGAGAGUUCAAUAGUUCACAUUGGGAUAAACAAGGUGUAACGGAAGGCUUGCAGGGAGUUCAGUACAUCUCCGGCAAACAAGAUGUUAAUCAGUCCAAGAACAAUGAGGAACUGAGCAGGUGUUUGUUCUCCCAGGAUGUUUCUUGUCCUGGAGAAUCACAGCAUCACUGGGUCACUGAAGUCUCAGUCGUGACCGGAGGCCAAACUGGAGUUAUUCUGUAGCUGGGCUGUAGGCAAGAGAACUAGGCUAACCAAAUGAUUUAUCCCUAGAAUUAUGUAGCAUUGCUCCCAACAUAUCUCCCUUUCUUUUUGUUUUAUGUGAAGGAGUUUUAUUGAAAAGCAAGCACACCCAACAAUGGCUUGUCCUUAUGUUGUGUGAGGAUCUAUAGUUUGACUGGCUUAGCUGUCUAUAAUAAGCAUAAUUUUUCUUAAUUGGGGCUGUAAAAGGAUUAAAAAAUCUAACAAUUUGUUUUUAAACAUUGGGUUUAAAAACUUAAAACUUUUGUUGAACUCAAAUAACUAUUGUCUUUAGUUAUACUUUUCUACUGGGUGUUUAAGACCAAGUUACGGUGAGACCUAUAUUAAAUAAAAUCAAUCUCUUGUUAUCUAACAAGGUCAAUUAAGUCUCCACAGGCACUGUCUUGGAACCAUGCAUAGAGCCUCUUAGCUCCUCUGUCAGUGUCAGCCAUAAGGAUAUGUCACGGCCUUGCUUGACCAUGUUGCUUCCUGCGAAAGCAUGGGAGAUUUUUUUCCUCCAGGUGACAUUCCUUUGGCACACUUUUUGUUGGAUCUUUACUGUUUUGGUGUUCAGCAACCUCCCUGCUCAGGAGGUUGGAUGACUCACCAAAAAUGCAGGAUCUCAGAGAUGGUUCCCUCAUGUCCUGGAUCUUUUUGUUAUUGUUGUUGACCUUGUAGGGCCAGGGCCAAAAUAUUGGCUGCCUUCUUAGCCCAAAUACCUCUUCAGAUUUGGUCUCUAAACUUUGGUUGUUGAACACCCAGAAGAGAAGAUCAAUAACAUUAGCAUUGUAAGAGGAGUAGUGAACUCAACUAUUAUAAUUUUACCUGGAUAUAAGCAUUUUGGAAUAAAAAUAUAGUUAAACUGUUAUUAUUGCCAAUGAUAGUUGCUGUUGUGGUUGGAUCCCUGAGUAGCUAUCUUUUUAUAGGACGUCAUCUAAGGAAAAUAUAUCAGCCUACAAGUGUGCCUAUUUUCAUAGGUGGCUGGAGCAUAAGAGAAGGGCAAAUACCUGAAUCAAAAGGUUAUUACCAUAAACAAUGUUAGAAGACCCAUACAAUUAGAGGGCAUGAAUACAUUUUGUACACCAGAAAAGGAGCAGUAAUAAAUAUCACAGUUACAUAAAACCUUAUGUUCUUCACUGUAGUUUGGUACCAAAACCAUCUUUCUAAUAACACUCUUUUUUAUGACACAGAAUUUAAGCUUUUGAAGAUGACCAAUGUGGACAUAUUACAAUAACAUAUUCAGAACGUAACCAAUGUAAACAUUUUACAAUCACAUAUUUAGCGCUUAAACAUCAAUGAUAACCAAUGUAAUCAAUUUAUAACAUAUUUAGAAUUUAAACUUCAAUGAUAACCAAUGUAAUCAAUUUAUAAUAACACAUUGAGACAAUAUUUGUUGUGGUGUGUCUCCCAUAAGAUUAUAAAAAUUAUUAGGGGGUCCCUUUAGUGAAUUAAGACCAGAAUAAUUAUUUUCUGGGUGGCCACUUCUUUAUUCACCAAAGGGAGUACCCAUAGUCUCUAUCUAUUUUGACAAACAAAGAAUAAGAAUAUAUAUAUCUUCCUAUUUUACAACUGCUUAUUGCAAUUUGAUUAUUCCAAGUAGGUGACAAUAUACAUUACUUUUAUAAAAUAAAUCUCGGUGGCACUUUGAUCAGUUAGCAACCUGGGAAGGAAGGCAUGUCUUUAAUUUAAUAACAUUUAUCUGUAAGCGAAUUUAACAAUAGGUGAAUAUCUUUUUUAAAAAAAACUUUUUUCAAAAGGUGAAAAGGAAAAGAGAAAAAAAUUGAGCUCAACUGUACAAACAGACAAACAACAGACAACAGACAAACAUAUAAGACAAUUUAUAAAAUUAGAGUGCACUCAAAUAUAUUUAGCCAAAUUGAAUCGUAAUAUCCUUUUUAUGAUUAUUAGAUUUAUAAUUGUAUGACUGGUCAAAAACUUUGGAAUAGUCAAUUAACAGAGAUCUAGAGAUUAGAAUCAGAAGGAAUGAAAGCGCUUUUAUACCUGUAAAUAUAAAAGGAGCAUUUUGAAGUUGUCCCCCACCUUCAUAAAUUUUUUACCAUAAAUCUACAAUUAUCAUUCCUCUGGGGGCAUCAUCUCAGUCCUGGACCCUGCCAUGGAUUUGUUGGUUGUCGCUGGUGAGGUGGGUCCCUGAGGUGCCGCUGGCUCAUCGCUUUCAGCCAGGGUGCUGUCACUGAUUCUGUGAGAUGUUGGCGGUUCCACCAGCGUGACCCACGGUCUCACGUUCCAGGAGGGCAGCCACAAGAUUUUUUCAUUAUCUGUUAGGGCACAGGUGAAACCUCUCUCCCACGUUAUUAAGGCAGGAGAAAUUUUUUGACAUAUGGCCUUUUGUAAUCUUAAAAACAAGUUUAAUAAUUUAGGUUCUAAGGUAGAGUAGAUUAUAGCUCCUUAGUCUUUGAGUCAACCAAACUGUGUAAGAGGAAUCAUUUAAAAUAUUAAGAGGUUGGGAAGGGAAGUUUUCAAUCACAAAUAUAAUGGCUAGCAACUCUGACCUCAGUGGACUAAGGCCCAAGUGGGGAGCGGUCAGGGGAGAGACAAUUACCCCUUUGCCAGGCCUCACAGAGAGCGGUACCUACAUGUUCCCAUGAUAUUAAGUUAAGCUGUCCCUUCCUGGGGAAAAGAUGGGACAUACAUUUGCAUGCCUUUUAACAAAUCUUCACAGCACCCUUAGGUACUGGGUACAUAGCUUGCUUUAACAGCGAAUUAAGUAAUUUGGCAAAGUUAUGCUGUUCUGUUGACAGAGACUGACCCAUAGUUAAAACUCAGCAAAGAUAGAAAAUUACCCCCAGCUGGACACACUUACCACCGGUGUCCCUCGUCCUAGUCCGGAAAUCGUCCUGGGAGAUCCGUGUGCUGUCUCUCUUACUCCAAGUUUGUCUCACAGGCGAGUUCACCCCUGGAUCCGAUUCACAUCCACGUUGGGCGCCAAAUGUAGGGGACAGGGGAAGGGGACAUUACCAGAACCUCUGCAGUUAGUCCUGGUCUCCUGCGAGCCACGGCAGCACAUGGCGAAUUACAGGAAAGGUAGAAAAAUGAGACCUGUCAGGUAAAAGUGCCGAAGACCAAGACCAGACCAGGCCACAACAAGCCUUUAUUAGGGGAAUAGAUCUGCCGGGCUGUCUCUGAACAAAGGAGAGACAAAAGCAAUAUGGCUGGGGCAGGGAGAGUCUUUUAUAGAGACUGGGGUGGGGCUUGUAGGGGCUGAGGUGGGGUUGAGUGAGGUAGUGAUCAGGGAGUGGAGGAG